AACACAGUACUCUUUAAAGGCGCACACCUUUUUUAUUUAACAAAAGUUUUUCGUGUCGAGACCGGUGACCGUAGUUUCAGCUCAAAAUGCACAAAAUUUCUCGUGUGGGAUAAUAAGAAACUAUGCGGAAUACCAAGUGUUCCUUGUGGAAAAACAUUAAAGUCUCUGAAACUGCAAUAGUAUAGUUAAAGAUAACAUUGAUUCGAAAAAUAUUAUCAAAGUUUU
Caenorhabditis elegans is the source of this 225-nucleotide non-coding RNA. The record is from Ensembl. Lineage: Eukaryota; Metazoa; Nematoda; Chromadorea; Rhabditida; Rhabditidae.